This 441-nucleotide ribosomal RNA is filed under the name uncultured bacterium. RNAcentral's name for it is "partial 16S ribosomal RNA". It matches the Rfam family "Bacterial small subunit ribosomal RNA", at positions 339 to 795 of the family's 1533-position model. The record is from RNAcentral.
CUACGGGGGGCUGCAGUCAAGAAUAUUCCACAAUGCACGAAAGUGUGAUGGAGCGACGCCGCGUGCAGGAAGACGCCCUUCGGGGUGUAAACUGCUUUUCUCUACGAAGAAUUCGUGACGGUAGUAGAGGAAUAAGAGGUUGCUAACUCUGUGCCAGCAGCAGCGGUAAUACAGAGACCUCAAACGUUAUCCGGAUUCAUUGGGCGUAAAGCGUCCGCAGGUGGUUGUGACAGUGUGUGGUCAAAUCUUGGGGCUUAACUUCGAGACUGCCACGCAUACUACACAACUUGAGGCUGGGAGAGGCAAGCGGAAUUCUCGGUGUAGUCGUAAUAAGCGCUGAUAUCGAGAGGAACACCAAAGGCGAAGGCAGCUUGCUGGAACAUGCCUGACACUCAUGGACGAAAGCGUGGGGAGCGAAUCGGAUUAGAUACCCCCGUAGUC